Long non-coding RNA from Perca flavescens (yellow perch), 278 nucleotides. RefSeq lists it as uncharacterized. The record is from RefSeq and is a predicted model, not a curated record. The transcript has 3 exons. Lineage: Eukaryota; Metazoa; Chordata; Actinopteri; Perciformes; Percidae.
GGAGCCAACAGCGACGGUUUCCAGACCUGCUGAGCCUGAUGACUCCUCUGGGAUUGUUGCUUCUGUGAAAGCCAGGCUGAAGGCCCCGCUGCCAGCCCCUUCUACCUCCUCAGCUCAGAUGAUAUGUGGACUUCAGCAUGUGGAGCCAGGCUGUCGUCAUGUUGUGUUAAAUUGUGACAAGCACAGGGUACAGCCCAACAUCCCAGCUGCUGUAGCUAUGGAGACCGAGGAUCACUGCCCUGCUGCUUUGGUGGCCACAGACUCUCAUGAGACCAGUG